UACGGAGGGGGCUAGCGUUGUUCGGAAUUACUGGGCGUAAAGCGCACGUAGGCGGAUCAGUCAGUCAGGGGUGAAAUCCCGGGGCUCAACCCCGGAACUGCCUUUGAUACUGCUGGUCUGGAGGUCGAGAGAGGUGGGUGGAAUUCCGAGUGUAGAGGUGAAAUUCGUAGAUAUUCGGAGGAACACCAGUGGCGAAGGCGGCCCACUGGCUCGAUACUGACGCUGAGGCGCGAAAGCUAGGGUAGCAAACGGG
Molecule: ribosomal RNA, 253 nt
Filed under: uncultured bacterium
Lineage: Bacteria
Description: partial 16S ribosomal RNA
Rfam family: Bacterial small subunit ribosomal RNA
Source: RNAcentral